GAGAACAGAAUGGUAGCCCUGUUGAAAGAACAGGUUGAUAUCUUCACCUGAUUGUAUCAAGAUACACCGGGGGGAAAUACCCAUGUUGUGGGGCACGAGCUACCAUGGAGAGAAGACUGUCCUCCAGUGAAGUGGAAACCGGUGCUGAAAGAUGAGAAUGUGUGUGACUGUCGAGACAUGAAUAGAGCUAGUUCGAGAGAUGAAUUCCCG
Molecule: long non-coding RNA, 210 nt
Filed under: Lathyrus oleraceus (garden pea)
Lineage: Eukaryota; Viridiplantae; Streptophyta; Magnoliopsida; Fabales; Fabaceae
Description: Pisum sativum (pea) long non-coding RNA (PSAT_LNC034822)
Source: RNAcentral